This 1959-nucleotide ribosomal RNA is filed under the name ciliate metagenome. Its description in RNAcentral is "bacterial LSU rRNA". It matches the Rfam family "Bacterial large subunit ribosomal RNA", at positions 1041 to 2925 of the family's 2925-position model. The record is from RNAcentral.
UAGGUAACUUUGUGUUUGAGUGGGAAAGGAAGUGGAAAUGCUCAGACAGCCAGGAGGUUGGCUUAGAAGCAGUCAUCCUUUAAAGAAAGCGUAACAGCUCACUGGUCGAGUGGGUUUGCACCGAAAAUGUAACGGGGCUAAAGCACAUUACCGAAGCUGCGGGUAUCAAAAAAUAUUUAUUUUUUGGUACGGUAGAGGAGCAUUCUGUUAAGGCUGAAGGUUAUUCGUAAGGAUAGCUGGACAUAACAGAAGAGACCAUGCUGACAUGAGUAACGAUAAAGCGGGUAAGAAACCCGCUCGCCGUAAACCUAAGGUUUCCUUGAGUAAAGCUAAUCUGCUCAGGGUUAGUCGAUCCCUAAGCCGAGGCCGAAAGGCGUAGGCGAUGGAAAACAGGUUAAUAUUCCUGUACCACCAUCUUAUCAUUAUAAAGCGAUGGGGUGACACAGGAGGGUAGGUCAUCCGUCUGUUGGAAUAGACGGUUUAAGCCCGUAGGCGGAAAGAACAGGUAAAACUGUUCUUUUUUUAACGCUGAGAGGUGAUGAGGAGUCUUUUUUAAUAAAAGACAUAACUGACUAAUCCCAUGCUGUCGAGAAAAGCCUCUAGUGAGAUAAGAAGGUGAUCGUACCGCAAACCAACACAGGUAGGUAAGGAGAGAAUCCUAAGGCGCUUGAGAGAACCCUGGUUAAGGAACUCGGCAAAAUGAUACCGUAACUUCGGGAGAAGGUAUGCCCACAUUAGGUGAAACAAAUUUUUUUAAAAAUUAUCUUGUGGAGCUGAAGUGGGUCGCAGAGAAAUGGCGGUAGCGACUGUUUACUAAAAACACAGGACUCUGCUAAGUUGUAAGACAAUGUAUAGGGUCUGACGCCUGCCCGGUGCCGGAAGGUUAAGGGGAUGUGUUAGUGGUACUUUUGUACUACGAAGCAUUGAACUGAAGCCCUGGUAAACGGCGGCCGUAACUAUAACGGUCCUAAGGUAGCGAAAUUCCUUGUCGGGUAAGUUCCGACCUGCACGAAUGGCGUAACGACUUCCGCACUGUCUCAACCAGGGACUCAGUGAAAUUGUAUUGGCGGUGAAGAUGCCGUCUACCCGCGAAAAGACGGAAAGACCCCGGCACCUUUACUACAGCUUGACAUUGGAUUUUGGAAUACUAUGUGUAGGAUAGGUGGGAGGCUAUGAAACCGAAACGUUAGUUUCGGUGGAGCCAGCCUUGAAAUACCACCCUUACUAUUUUAGGGUUCUAAUUUUGUUCCGUAAUCCGGGCAAAAGACAGUGUUUGGUGGGUAGUUUGACUGGGGCGGUCGCCUCCCAAAGAGUAACGGAGGCGCGCGAAGGUUCCCUCAGGCUGAUUGGAAACCAGCCGUGGAGUGUAAAGGCAUAAGGGAGCUUGACUGCGAGAGAGACAUUUCGAGCAGGUACGAAAGUAGGUCUUAGUGAUCCGGCGGUCCUGAAUGGAAGGGCCGUCGCUCAACGGAUAAAAGGUACGCCGGGGAUAACAGGCUUAUCGCCCCCAAGAGUUCAUAUCGACGGGGCGGUUUGGCACCUCGAUGUCGGCUCAUCACAUCCUGGGGCUGAAGCAGGUCCCAAGGGUUUGGCUGUUCGCCAAUUAAAGUGGUACGUGAGCUGGGUUUAAAACGUCGUGAGACAGUUUGGUCCCUAUCUUUCGUGGGCGUAGGAUAUUUGAGAGGCUCUGUUACUAGUACGAGAGGACCGUAAUGGACGAACCUCUGGUGUUCCAGUUGUCGCGCCAGCGGCAUAGCUGGGUAGCUAUGUUCGGAAAGGAUAACCGCUGAAAGCAUAUAAGCGGGAAGCCUCCCUCAAGAUAAGAUAUCCCCUCAUACAAUUAAUUUUAUUGAGUGUAUGACUGAAGACUACUUGAAGACUACAAGAUUGAUAGGCUGGGUGUGUAAGUACAGUAAUGUAUUCAGCUAACCAGUACUAAUAGUCGUGAGGCUUGAUCAA